Molecule: non-coding RNA, 135 nt
Organism: Triticum aestivum (bread wheat)
Lineage: Eukaryota; Viridiplantae; Streptophyta; Magnoliopsida; Poales; Poaceae
Source: Rfam
UGUAUACUCCCUCCGUCCGAAAAUACUUGUCAUCAAAAUGGAUAAAAAAGGAUGUAUCUAGAACUAAAAUACAUCUAGAUAUAUCUCCCUUUAUCCAUUUUGAUGACAAGUAUUUCCAGACGGAGGGAGUAUAUA